This 580-nucleotide long non-coding RNA is filed under the name Brassica napus (rape). RNAcentral describes it as "long non-coding RNA (BNAP_LNC008729)". Lineage: Eukaryota; Viridiplantae; Streptophyta; Magnoliopsida; Brassicales; Brassicaceae. The record is from RNAcentral.
UCCUGAUGGAUAAUUGGUCCAUUUGAAUCUGGUCAAGGGAAGGCUGGCUCCUUAUUGGCUAGCUAAAGGCUCCCAUGAAUCUGCCCACUUCUUUUGCUAGAUACAUGGUCUCCUUUUGCUUUUACUUUACAGCAAGAGACUCUCCUUUCCAGCCUGUCACUCGCCAGCCUCUCCUUUGUCUUCUUCUCUUAAGAGUUUCACCAGUGCCCUAUUUUUGCACCAACUUCAAAUGUGCUCAAAUGGUUGACUGGUGAACUUUCGGGAUGUCUCGGUCCGUACGGAUCCGUACGGUCCGUACAACGUCCGUACCAAAUCCGUACAGCCAGUCCCUAAGUUUGCACACUCGCCCAAAUACUCUUCUAAGUCCCUCCUGGACUUGGCCCUAUCUUUGCACCACACUUCCAUCUUCUCUCUAACUCCUUCACAGCCUUCACAUGAUCAGUCUAAGUCUUUCCUAGACUUAACUUCACAAGAUAACUACUUCAGAACACUUCUGAAGCUUGAUUGAACUCUUCUGGACAUCUUCUAGAGCUUGCCCUAUUAUUGUACAAGCUCUAUCUUCUCUUCAGUUCAACACUCC